RNAcentral lists this ribosomal RNA (305 nucleotides) under uncultured bacterium. RNAcentral's name for it is "partial 16S ribosomal RNA". It matches the Rfam family "Bacterial small subunit ribosomal RNA", at positions 508 to 809 of the family's 1533-position model. The record is from RNAcentral.
ACAGCAGCCGCCGCGGUAAUACGGAGGGUGCAAGCGUUAAUCGGAAUUACUGGGCGUAAAGCGUGCGUAGGCGGUUCGUUAAGUCUGUUGUGAAAGCCCCGGGCUCAACCUGGGAAUGGCAAUGGAUACUGGCGAGCUAGAGUGUGUCAGAGGAUGGUGGAAUUCCCGGUGUAGCGGUGAAAUGCGUAGAGAUCGGGAGGAACAUCAGUGGCGAAGGCGGCCAUCUGGGACAACACUGACGCUGAGGCACGAAAGCGUGGGGAGCAAACAGGAUUAGAGACCCGCGUAGUCCCUGUCUCUUAUAA